CCUACGGGAGGCAGCAGUGGGGAAUUUUGGACAAUGGGCGCAAGCCUGAUCCAGCCAUGCCGCGUGCGGGAAGAAGGCCUUCGGGUUGUAAACCGCUUUUGUCAGGGAAGAAAAGGUUCUGGCUAAUACCUGGGACUCAUGACGGUACCUGAAGAAUAAGCACCGGCUAACUACGUGCCAGCAGCCGCGGUAAUACGUAGGGUGCAAGCGUUAAUCGGAAUUACUGGGCGUAAAGCGUGCGCAGGCGGUUAUGCAAGACAGAGGUGAAAUCCCCGGGCUCAACCUGGGAACUGCCUUUGUGACUGCAUAGCUAGAGUACGGUAGAGGGGGAUGGAAUUCCGCGUGUAGCAGUGAAAUGCGUAGAUAUGCGGAGGAACACCGAUGGCGAAGGCAAUCCCCUGGACCUGUACUGACGCUCAUGCACGAAAGCGUGGGGAGCAAACAGGAUUAGAUACCCUGGUAGUCCACGCCCUAAACGAUGUCAACUGGUUGUCGGGAGGGUUUCUUCUCAGUAACGUAGCUAACGCGUGAAGUUGACCGCCUGGGGAGUACGGCCGCAAGGUUGAAACGUCAAAGGAAUUGACGG
Molecule: ribosomal RNA, 586 nt
Filed under: uncultured bacterium
Lineage: Bacteria
Description: bacterial SSU rRNA
Rfam family: Bacterial small subunit ribosomal RNA
Source: RNAcentral